Long non-coding RNA from Odocoileus virginianus texanus, 428 nucleotides. RefSeq lists it as uncharacterized. The record is from RefSeq and is a predicted model, not a curated record. NCBI's taxonomy places the organism in Eukaryota, Metazoa, Chordata, Mammalia, Artiodactyla, Cervidae.
CAGGGAUCAAACCUGAAUCUCCUGCAUUGGCAGACUGAUUCUUUACUAUCUGAGCCACCAGAGUUUGUAGUGGUUGAUAAUUAUCUGAUACAAAACAUGUAACAAAAUAUAUUUGCUAGAUUGUUUUCCAGAUUGCACCUGCCCUUUGGCAUCCAAUAUAAAGAUUUCCCAUAAAUAUAAACUGUGGUGAAAUUCACUUAAUAAUUACUUUAUAUUAAUCAUUUUUCUCCCCACCCCUCUUCUCACAGUGGCACCAUAUUACUAAAAGCUACAAGUACCUAGGAUUUGUGCCUCAAAUCAAGACAUCAUUUGGCUAAGGAAAUGUGAGAUGCUGAAAGAUGAGAACAGCCAUCCUUCGGUGGAAGUUUGCAGCGCUACAAAACUCAGGAACUGCAGCCCACCAGGCUCCCCUGUUCACGGACUUCCCA